This 335-nucleotide ribosomal RNA is filed under the name uncultured bacterium. Its description in RNAcentral is "bacterial SSU rRNA". It matches the Rfam family "Bacterial small subunit ribosomal RNA", at positions 1049 to 1382 of the family's 1533-position model. The record is from RNAcentral.
UUGUCGUCAGCUCGUGUCGUGAGAUUGUUGGGUUUAAGUCCCGCAACGGAGCCGCAACCCCUGUCCUGUGUUGCUACUCCGCAAGGAGAGGACUCUCAGGAGACUGCCGUGGAUAACACGGAGGAAGGUGGGAUGACGUCAAAUCAUCAUGGCCUUUAUGUCCAGGGCUACACACGUGAUACAAUGGUACAGACAGAGGGCUGCAAGACCGUAAGGUGGAGCCAAUCCCUAAACUGUAUCCCAGUUCAGAUCGAGGGCUGCAAUUCGCCCUCGUGAAGUUGGAAUCGCUAGUAAUCGCAGAUCAGCAGGCUGCGAUGAAUACGUUCCCGGGCCUU